CCGUAGCCGGUCUGAUACAUUCUUGGGUAAAUCAACCAGCUCAACUGGUUGUAUUCUGCGAGGACGGGCAAACUUGGGACCGGGAGAGGUGUGGGGUACGCUCAGGGUAGGGGUAAAAUCCUGUCAUCCUGAGCGGACCACCUGUUGCGAAGGCGCCACACUAGAACGGAUCCGACGGUCAGGGACGAAGCCUAGGGGCACGAACCGGAUUAGAUACCCGGGUAGUCCUAGGUGUAAACGCUGUGGACUUGAUGUUGGGGGUGCUCCGAGCACUCUCAGUGUCGAAGCGAAGGUGAUAAGUCCACUGCCUGGGAAGUACGGUCGCAAGGCUGAAACUUAAAGGAAUUGGCGGGGG
Molecule: ribosomal RNA, 355 nt
Filed under: uncultured archaeon
Lineage: Archaea
Description: bacterial SSU rRNA
Rfam family: Archaeal small subunit ribosomal RNA
Source: RNAcentral